AGAGUUUGAUCCUGGCUCAGAAUCAACGCUGGCGGCGUGCCUAACACAUGCAAGUCGCACGAGAAAGUGGAGCAAUCCAUGAGUAUAGUGGCGCACGGGUGAGUAACACGUGAAUCAUCUACCUCCGAGUGGGGAAUAACCUAGAGAAAUCUGGGCUAAUACCGCAUAACACUUACGAGUCAAAGCAGCAAUGCGCUUGGAGAGGAGUUCGCGGCAGAUUAGUUAGUUGGCGGGGUAAUGGCCCACCAAGACGAUGAUCUGUAUCCGGCCUGAGAGGGCGCACGGACACACUGGAACUGAAACACGGUCCAGACUCCUACGGGAGGCAGCAGUGGGGAAUUUUGCGCAAUGGGGGAAACCCUGACGCAGCAACGCCGCGUGGAGGAUGAAAUCCCUUGGGAUGUAAACUCCUUUCGAUUGGGAAGAUUAUGACGGUACCAAUAGAAGAAGCCCCGGCUAACUUCGUGCCAGCAGCCGCGGUAAUACGAGGGGGGCAAGCGUUGUUCGGAAUUAUUGGGCGUAAAGGGCGCGUAGGCGGUUUGACAAGUCUGAUGUGAAAUCUCUGGGCUCAACCCAGAGUCUGCAUUAGAAACUGUCGGGCUUGAGUAUGGGAGAGGUGAGUGGAAUUUCCGGUGUAGCGGUGAAAUGCGUAGAUAUCGGAAGGAACACCUGAGGCGGAAGCGGCUCACUGGACCAUAACUGACGCUGAGGCGCGAAAGCUAGGUGAGCAAACAGGAUUAGAUACCCUGGUAGUCCACGCCGUAAACGUUGGGCCGGUGAUGAAUAGGCUUCGUGCCUAUUCAGUGCCGCAGGGAAGCCGUUAAGUCUGCCGCCUGGGGAGUACGGUCGCAAGACUGAAACUUAAAGGAAUUGGCGGGGGAGCACCACAAGGGGUGAAGCCUGCGGUUCAAUUGGAGGCAACGCCGGAAAUCUUACCGGGGGCGACAGCAGAAUGAAGGUCAAGCUGAAGACUAUACCAGACAAGCUGAGAGGAGGUGCAUGGCCGUCGCCAGCUCGUGCCGUGAGGUGUCCUGUUAAGUCAGGUAACGAGCGAGAUCCCUGCCUCUAGUUGCUACCAUUGCUCUCAGGAGUAGUGGGGCUAUUAGAGGGACUGCCGUCGCUGAGACGGAGGAAGGAGGGGGCUACGGCAGGUCAGUAUGCCCCGAAACCCUCGGGCCACACGCGGGCUGCAAUGGUAAGGACAAUAAGUUCCUAUUCCGAAAGGAGGAGGUAAUCUCCAAACCUUACCUCAGUUAUGAUUGAGGGCUGAAACUCGCCCUCAUGAAUAUGGAAUCCCUAGUAACCGCGUGUCAUUAUCGCGCGGUGAGUACGUCCCUGCUCCUUGCACACACCGCCCGUCGCUUCAUCGAAGUUGGUUCUUGGCGAGGUUGUGUCUCAUUGGCACUGUCGAACCUGGGGUCAGCAACGAGGGAGAAGUCGUAACAAGGUG
RNAcentral lists this ribosomal RNA (1450 nucleotides) under metagenome. Its description in RNAcentral is "bacterial SSU rRNA". It matches the Rfam family "Bacterial small subunit ribosomal RNA". The record is from RNAcentral.